This 190-nucleotide non-coding RNA is filed under the name Clostridiales bacterium. RNAcentral's name for it is "6S RNA". It matches the Rfam family "6S / SsrS RNA". From Rfam's summary of the family: E. coli 6S RNA was the first non coding RNA to be sequenced, but its function was unknown until recently. RNAcentral also lists the same sequence under 1 other name. The record is from RNAcentral. Lineage: Bacteria; Bacillati; Bacillota; Clostridia; Eubacteriales.
UGCAAUCUGAGAUAUUCGUGAAGCUUAUAUUUUGAACCUACAUUGUGUAUAAGGGAGUCCGAUAUAAAGCAAUGAAUAUCAGGCCCAUUAUAAGUCCGAUUCCGGCAGGGGAAGAUAGAAAUUCUUUUGAGGGCACCCACCUAUCGAGAGAUAGGUGUCAAAAUACAAGCAACGGUAUCUUGGAUUAUUA